RNAcentral lists this small RNA (516 nucleotides) under Pongo abelii (Sumatran orangutan). RNAcentral describes it as "retained intron". The record is from RNAcentral. Lineage: Eukaryota; Metazoa; Chordata; Mammalia; Primates; Hominidae.
CAACUUGUGGUGAGCCGUCCAGUGGACAAGGGUGGGUAGGUUGGUGGACUGGCUUCCUUGUGGACUCUUGGCCCCUUCCCUCCAUACCACCCCAACCUCAGACUCCUCCCUCCUACCCCAGGACCUGGCGAGCACAAAGCCUGGCACCUCGUCUGCUCCAUUCACGAUCAAUGCACAUCAGAGUGACAUAGCCUGUGUGUCUCUAAACCAGCCAGGCACUGUAGUGGCCUCAGCCUCCCAGAAGGGUACCCUUAUUCGCCUCUUUGACACACAAUCCAAGGAGAAACUGGUAGAGCUGCGCCGAGGCACUGACCCUGCCACCCUCUACUGGUGAGCACAGGGUAUGCAUGGUGGGCUGGUGACCCCAUACCACAUGACAUAUGGGCAUCACUGCUGAUCUGUCUUCUAGCAUUAACUUCAGCCACGACUCCUCCUUCCUCUGCGCUUCCAGUGAUAAGGGCACCGUCCAUAUCUUUGCUCUCAAGGAUACCCGCCUCAACCGCCGCUCCGCGUGAG